UUCUCCUAAAUAUGAAUAUAGUCAAAGCUCUUGGUGUCUCACACAUCAUAUUUUAAGACCUAGUAACACAGUUUUUGCCUUCUUGGGCCAUGAAGACCAGCCUCUACCUGAGAUGGUGGAGGGUUGGUGAAAAGCUUCCCUGGAAGGAGUAGUUUGGCUCACUGUCAGUCAUCCCAGGGCAGCAAAAGAGCUGGUUUUAGACUCUGCACAUGGAUAUGUGGGAGGCCUGCAGAUUUUUACUGGGGGCACUGACUGGUCCCUGCUAUGUGGAAGUCUGCAGGGAGACAGGAAGAGGUUGGGUUUGGGAUCUUAAAACGUGCAUUUCCUUCUCUCCUCUAGCAGUAAGCUGUGCUUUGAAUGAUGAAGAGAGCAGGCUGUGUCCAUCGCCAGGUGGAAUCCAUUGGCAGUAGGCAGAGCGGACAGCAGCCUGGAGAAGGGUCUUGUGGGAUGACAGAAGGGGGCCUGAAGGAAAGCUCUGGUUCAGUGAAGUUGCGGAGCCCCAUGGGGACCCAUGGUGGGAUGAAAUGACCCUAAGUCCCCUGGGGACAGAAUGGAUGCUCCACAUUACCAUGAUAGAGCCUGCUAGUUAUAAACUGAAUAUUCAUGAAACGAUGUCAAUAUUUUGUAAUCCACAGGCUGAUGAGAUCUGAGGACACAUGGGUGAUAUAACGAAGGACUUCUGAAAGUUUGGAGGAGCUGCUGUAAUAGGCUCGACCGUGCUGUGCUCUCAGGGUGUUCCAGUGGUCCUUGGUUUUGGCUUCCAACCAGAGGCUACAUCCUUCAAUGACGGCCCAGUUGAUCUAUGACUUGGCUUCCUGAAUCUUCAAGCCUGAAAUCUUCCCUGCCCCUGCCCGUGUUGGUGUCUUCCCCUGCUUCCCUGAAGACAGAAACGGAUUAGAGAAACUUCCUGAUCAAAUGGAAAAAGCAAUACCAGACAAACAGUUACAGCUCAGGAGCUGAGUAACGGUAGCAUAAUGCAUCUUGGUGGUCGGAUUGCUCACACUGUUGCCUCUAGAACGCAGAGCAUCUGUGAAGAUUUGGAGAGCUGGUACCUGUGCAGCCCUGGGCAUUGUGGAUGGCACGAGGGACCAAACUUGUUCUUGAACCCUGUCUAGAAAUGGGAGAACCAUCCACAUGUGGAAAAGCUUUCAGCUGAAACAGACAAGAGGUGGCUGAUCCUCUCUUCUUGAUCCAGUCUGGGCGCUCACCUUGUAGUUGGCUGGGCUUGGUCUCCUGCUCAUUGGAAAAGACUCUGAUGCUGGGAGGGAUUGCGGACAGGAGGAGAAGGGGACGACAGAGGAUGAGAUGGCUGGAUGGCAUCACUGACUUGAUGGACAUGAGUCUCAGUGAACUCCAGGAGCUGGUGAUGGACAGGGAGGCCUGGCGUGCUGCGAUUCAUGGGGUCGCAAAGAGUCGGACACGACUGAGUGACUGAUCCGAUCUGAUCUGGAGCUACCAAAAUGAGAGAGACUGGGAAGCUUGGUGUUCAGUCAUGUCAUCACUGGGAUCCUACUAGGAGAACAAGGUACCAUGCAGCCACUGGAAAGGCUGAGUGUCUAGAAAGGGCCAUAACAGAGGAAAAUCCUUCUUCUUGGCUGACUGGGACCAGGACUGGCUUUAAAGCAAUUGGCGCAGAUGCUGAGUGAGGGGGUGCUUUCAUUUUGUGCUCAAUAAAACCAGUUUUAUUCA
Long non-coding RNA from Bubalus bubalis (water buffalo), 1689 nucleotides. RefSeq lists it as uncharacterized. NCBI's taxonomy places the organism in Eukaryota, Metazoa, Chordata, Mammalia, Artiodactyla, Bovidae. The transcript has 5 exons. The record is from RefSeq and is a predicted model, not a curated record.